This 467-nucleotide ribosomal RNA is filed under the name uncultured bacterium. RNAcentral's name for it is "partial 16S ribosomal RNA". It matches the Rfam family "Bacterial small subunit ribosomal RNA", at positions 28 to 507 of the family's 1533-position model. The record is from RNAcentral.
GAUGAACGCUGGCGGCGUGCUUAACACAUGCAAGUCGAACGGAAAGGCUCCUGCUUGCAGGGGUACUCGAGUGGCGAACGGGUGAGUAACACGUGGGUGAUCUGCCCUGCACUUCGGGAUAAGCCUGGGAAACUGGGUCUAAUACCGGAUAGGACCACAUUUUGGAUGGUGUGGUGGAAAGUUUUUCGGUGUGGGAUGAGCUCGCGGCCUAUCAGCUUGUUGGUGGGGUAAUGGCCUACCAAGGCGUCGACGGGUAGCCGGCCUGAGAGGGUGUACGGCCACAUUGGGACUGAGAUACGGCCCAGACUCCUACGGGAGGCAGCAGUGGGGAAUAUUGCACAAUGGGCGCAAGCCUGAUGGAGCGACGCCGCGUGGGGGAUGACGGCCUUCGGGUUGUAAACUCCUUUCGCUAGGGACGAAGCGUUUUUGUGACGGUACCUGGAGAAGAAGCACCGGCUAACUACGUG